GGCCUCGUAGUUCUGUUGGCUAGAGCGUUGUCCGUACUGAAGCCUUCUCCUUGCUGGUGUGGGUUCGAAUCCCACCGAGGCCG
RNAcentral lists this transfer RNA (83 nucleotides) under Schistocephalus solidus. It matches the Rfam family "tRNA". From Rfam's summary of the family: Transfer RNA (tRNA) molecules are approximately 80 nucleotides in length. The record is from Rfam by way of RNAcentral. Lineage: Eukaryota; Metazoa; Platyhelminthes; Cestoda; Diphyllobothriidea; Diphyllobothriidae.